Molecule: ribosomal RNA, 563 nt
Filed under: Hirsutella sp. NBRC 103841
Lineage: Eukaryota; Fungi; Ascomycota; Sordariomycetes; Hypocreales; Ophiocordycipitaceae
Also listed under: 3 other names
Description: partial 28S ribosomal RNA
Rfam family: Eukaryotic large subunit ribosomal RNA
Source: RNAcentral
AAACCAACAGGGAUUGCCCCAGUAACGGCGAGUGAAGCGGCAACAGCUCAAAUUUGAAAUCUGGCCCCCAGGGCCCGAGUUGUAAUUUGCAGAGGAUGCUUUUGGCGACGCGCCUUCCGAGUUCCCUGGAACGGGACGCCAUAGAGGGUGAGAGCCCCGUCUGGUUGGACGCCGAGCCUCUGUAAAGCUCCUUCGACGAGUCGAGUAGUUUGGGAAUGCUGCUCUAAAUGGGAGGUAUAUGUCUUCUAAAGCUAAAUACCGGCCAGAGACCGAUAGCGCACAAGUAGAGUGAUCGAAAGAUGAAAAGCACUUUGAAAAGAGGGUUAAAUAGUACGUGAAAUUGUUGAAAGGGAAGCGCUCACGACCAGACUUGAGCCCGGUGAAUCAUCCAGCGUUCUCGCUGGUGCACUUCGCCGGGCCCAGGCCAGCAUCGGUUCGCCGCGGGGGAGAAAGGCGUCGGGAACGUGGCUCCCUCGGGAGUGUUAUAGCCCGUCGCACAAUACCCUGGGGCGGACCGAGGUUCGCGCAUCUGCAAGGAUGCUGGCGUAAUGGUCGUCAGCGAC